ACGUGUGUGUGUGUGUGUGUGUGUGUGUGUGUGUGUGUGUGUGUGUGUGUGUGUGUGUGUGUGUGUGUGUGUGUGUGUGUGUGUGUGUGUGUGUGUGUGUGUGUGUGUGUGUGUGUGUGUGUUGCGUCAACGAGGCCAGGCUGCUACUCAAUAGCCCUGCGGCGGUCUCUUCUGUCAGCGCGAAACUGGAGCUGAAAGCAGGACAUGCCAUGUGUUCACACACACUAGUGUAUAACUAGUAGCAUUGGCUCCAAAGUGGGCACAGAGGGACCCUGUGUGCUUUAUUGAAGGUGGAGAAAACCUCUCAGGCCUCACAGACGACCGGUGCAAGGAGUGACGGAGUUGAAGGAGAAGGAGGCCGAAGAGGAGGAGGGAGGGAGUGAGUCAGCGGCGGGCGGGGUCGGUGACAUUCUGCAUCCUGUCCCGGUUGUCUUCGGGUCACUGGCGGAGCUAUGAAAAGUUGAGGUGAGAGCAAAGGGGUGACACCAGGCGAAGAGGAAGAAACGCAAAAGAAACGAAGAAGGAUUUUUUGCAUUUCUUCACCCGUCCGAAGACGUCCCACCAGCCGCCGGGAGCUCUGGCUGGAGGUGUUCCUAGGUGAGAGGGAGAGACAGAGAGGAGGGGAGAGCCAGGUCGCGGUGCGUCCCCCACGACGUGAGCAGCGGCCGGAGCCUCGUUCGACGUCCCGUCAACCUUUAGCCCACCAGAAGACGGGACGGUGUCACACUGCUCUGCCCGGUAGUGCGACCA
Molecule: long non-coding RNA, 750 nt
Filed under: Gadus morhua (Atlantic cod)
Lineage: Eukaryota; Metazoa; Chordata; Actinopteri; Gadiformes; Gadidae
Description: lncRNA (ENSGMOG00000033406.1)
Source: RNAcentral